UGCUUUGGCUACAGUGAGCAUCUCUCUGUGGUAAAGAGAAAGGGUAAAAUUAAGUCUCCACUUUGGGCUGGAACACCCUUCCCUGAAGCCCUGAGCCAGCCCUGAGCCAGCCCUGACGUCACUCAGAGCUCCCCUCCUGCUCCGACUCCACUUCCGGUCACCAGACCUUGACUUGCUCUUCCUGUGCUACUCCCCUGACCCUCACAGCUCCAUGCUCCUACCGGCCCCACUGUCCACACAGCCCUAGGGGCAGCGGGCACAGGAACCAGGGACCCCCAGGCUGACCUCUCACUUUUGGUCCCUGAGCUCCUUGUUGUCACACAAAUAGCUGUGUCACCCUCCCUCCUCUGGUCUCCAGCAACAAAAGCCUGUGGAGCCAUCAUAGUCCCUGUUCCUGCCAGACCUUUAUUAACCAUGACAAGGGUUUGGAAAGCCCACAAAACAUCCUAAUCUCUCCUGUCUCCGUGUAGAAGCAGAUAGAGUUGGAAGAGGCUGUGGAGGGUGGAGAGGUGGCAGGCACGUCCCUGGAGAGCCCGUCUCCAGCCACCUUCCUCCCCUGAAUGUGUCUCCCCGCUCAGCUGAGACCGUCUCUCAGGAAUCUGGCCAAGCUUGCUGAAGGGACGCUCAAGAGGGAGUUCAUCAUGGAGACUGUGGCCAGUGGGAAGAUGGAUCAUCAACUCUGUUCUGGGGUAAGGCUCCUGGGAAAUCAUUUGUUCACUGGCUCAUUCAGUCAUACAGUGGAGCCACCUGUCGCCAGCCAGAGCUUUAGCAAGAGGAAAAUAAAACUCCAAGUUCUCUUCCUGUCUGGCUCUCUCCAUUCCCUGUCUAAGAAGAGAUGGAUCAGGUAACUGUAGACGGCAGAAAAAUGGAAGGAAGGCUGCCAUCCACCCCACCCCACAGAGGAGGCCUGCCCUCCAGACUGGUCUGCUGGAUGGUUUGGACCACACGUGCGUAGAGCCACUUGCUGUCACCUGGGCUGAUGGGGUCUGCUGUCUGGUCUGCACAUCCCCUUUUCUCUUCAUAUGUGGACGGUGGACUGCUCUAGAACCCACUGUCCUGGAGCAGGCCCCGCCAUCUUGUCUUCUUCCACAUGGGAAAGGAAGGAGAUUCAUGACCGAAGGUUGACUUGUUCCCCCCUCACCAUGGUUGGUGUGGAAAUGAGAGAAAAACACAAACUGCCAUUAUCUCCACUUCCUUCAGUCUAACCUCUGAAUUGGGGUUUGGGGUCCACACUCCUGAAAAAUAAGAUGCUAUUUUAACUUUCUUUUCUAAUUUUCACCUUAUGCCUUUCUCUAGGAGACUCAUAGGGAGGCAUUCCAGAGUCUCCUGUUCAAAGACCCCCCGGGGGUUCCUGAUGUCCUCAACAAAUGGAGAACCCAGGAGGCCAGGCUAGGGCCCAUCACCCACCCAGUGUGCCCCUUACAGAGGGCCUGGUCCCGGCGUGUCUUCAAGGCUCCACACUGAAGGAACUCUUGCCAUGAGCUCAAUAUCUGAGACAUACUUUUCUAAAUUCCCCAAUUUCUUGCAUCUCCGAUUUUCUUUUCAUUAUUGAUCAAUUUUGUGACCUACCUUGGCAACCAGCAUCAAUACCCCUCUUUAAAACAAAAAAAAAAAAGACUCCUAUUGAGAACAGAAUCUUAUGCCCUCUCUGAGGCCCGUAUGGCAGGUUGUACUGCUCGUCUCAGCAGCUGCGCUUCUCACCGUGGAGAAUUACUGUCCCCAGCCCAGUGACAUCACACUUAACCAUGCAGUUUGCUUUGGUCAAUGGAAGUGGCACAUCCAUUUAACGCCAUCACAUGGCCCUCCAAUUACUCU
Ictidomys tridecemlineatus (thirteen-lined ground squirrel) is the source of this 1815-nucleotide long non-coding RNA. NCBI's taxonomy places the organism in Eukaryota, Metazoa, Chordata, Mammalia, Rodentia, Sciuridae. The record is from Ensembl.